ACAGACUCAUGAUCCGUCAAGGUGAAGUAAAUCAUAUUUUGAUGUGUCAACGACUUUUUCAUCAGUUUGCAGUUGAUAUGUAUGUCAAAAUUGAGACUGAACGAUUGACAUACAUCCGUUUGAACCAACGACGGCUACGGUCAGAGGAAUACAUUCAUCUCCGCGAUGCUAUAAAUGCUGAUGGCAAUGUGAAUAAUGUAGGAAGAAUGACAAUUUUGCCAGCUACUUAUAUAGGAAGCCCACGCCACAUGCAUGAAUAUGCUCAGGAUGCUAUGUCAUAUGUUAGGCAUUAUGGCCGCCCAGACUUAUUUGUUACAUUCACAUGUAACCCAAAAUGGUCCGAAAUCAAGAAGGAAUUACUACAUAGCCAAACACCAGUUGAUAGACAUGACAUAACCGCCAGAGUUUUUAAACAAAAAUUAAAAUCUCUCAUGAAUUUUUUAAUAAAGCAUUGUGUGUAUGGCCGAGUCCGUUGUUGGAUGUACUCUGUAGAAUGGCAAAAGCGUGGAUUGCCACAUGCGCACAUUUUAGUCUGAUGAAAUAGUUGACCCAAAAUUGCAUGCAGUAGUUA
This is a long non-coding RNA of Drosophila kikkawai, 571 nucleotides long. RefSeq lists it as uncharacterized. NCBI's taxonomy places the organism in Eukaryota, Metazoa, Arthropoda, Insecta, Diptera, Drosophilidae. The record is from RefSeq and is a predicted model, not a curated record.